RNAcentral lists this ribosomal RNA (416 nucleotides) under uncultured bacterium. Its description in RNAcentral is "bacterial SSU rRNA". It matches the Rfam family "Bacterial small subunit ribosomal RNA", at positions 1001 to 1414 of the family's 1533-position model. The record is from RNAcentral.
UGGAAACACGGGGGUGCCCCUUCGGGGGAGCCUGGAGACAGGUGCUGCAUGGCUGUUGUCAGCUCGUGUCGUGAGAUGUUGGGUUAAGUCCCGCAACGAGCGCAACCCUUGCCUUUAGUUGCCAGCAUUCAGUUGGGCACUCUAAAGGGACUGCCGGUGUAAAACCGGAGGAAGGUGGGGAUGACGUCAAGUCCUCAUGGCCCUUAUGCCCAGGGCUACACACGUGCUACAAUGGCCGGUACAAAGGGCAGCGAGCCCGCGAGGGUCAGCAAAUCCCAAAAAGCCGGUCUCAGUUCGGAUCGGAGUCUGCAACCCGACUUCGUGAAGGUGGAAUCGCUAGUAAUCCCGGAUCAGCAUGCCGGGGUGAAUACGUUCCCGGGCCUUGUACACACCGCCCGUCACACCACGAAAGCUGG